GUCGAGAAUCUUCCGCAAUGCGCGAAAGCGUGACGGAGCGACACCGCGUGAUGGAUGAAGUCCUUCGGGGCGUAAACAUCUUUUAUAAAGGAGGAAAUUUUUGACGUUACUUUAUGAAUAAGGGGCUCCCAAUCUCGUGCCAGCAGGAGCGGUAAUACGAGAGCCUCAAGCGUUAUCCGGAAUCAUUGGGCGUAAAGGGUGCGUAGGUGGUUUGAUUAGUCUCCCGUUAAAACUUCGAGCUUAACUCGAAAAGAGCGGGGGAAACGGUCAAACUAGAGUAUGUGAGGGGUGUGUGGAACUCAUGGUGUAGGGGUGAAAUCCGUUGAUAUCAUGGGGAACACCAAAAGCGAAGGCAGCACACUGGCACAUCACUGACACUGAGGCACGAAACCUAAGGUAGCGAAUGGGAUUAGAAACCCCGGUAGUCC
RNAcentral lists this ribosomal RNA (428 nucleotides) under uncultured bacterium. Its description in RNAcentral is "partial 16S ribosomal RNA". It matches the Rfam family "Bacterial small subunit ribosomal RNA", at positions 354 to 796 of the family's 1533-position model. The record is from RNAcentral.